GAAUGUGAGGGUGACCUGGCUGUGACCCUCCCACACCAUUGAUUCCAAGUCCCAUUAGACUGAUGUGGUGGCCCGGUGUCUUCUUUCUUCCUCACCUCCGUGUGCAUCCCUCAGGCUUUGAGUUGCUGGCUCAGACAACAGGAAUGUCCUUUCCUGAUAAAAGAGGAUUUGUCCUUGGUAGG
This 182-nucleotide small nuclear RNA is filed under the name Sus scrofa (pig). Its description in RNAcentral is "7SK RNA". It matches the Rfam family "7SK RNA", at positions 1 to 187 of the family's 331-position model. From Rfam's summary of the family: 7SK was discovered as an abundant small nuclear RNA in the mid-70s but a possible function has only recently been suggested. Two independent studies have found that 7SK RNA binds the CDK9/cyclin T complex (known as elongation factor P-TEFb). Lineage: Eukaryota; Metazoa; Chordata; Mammalia; Artiodactyla; Suidae. The record is from Rfam by way of RNAcentral.